CUCACUGCCGGAAGUUACUGGGGCUGCUGCUAUUCUGCCUCUCUGCUGGGUGCACAUAAUGGCGCCGCAGAACAGUCUGUGAGGAACCUUGCCCGCAGCAGCUACCCCAGUAACUUUUGGCAGUGAGUCACUAUGUGAUAUGUGGUGCUGCGGCAGAGCCUGCUUUGUUGUGUGGGGAACGAGUUGACUGGGAGAGGGUAGGGGGAGUGAGCAGCUCCACAGAGAAGGAGACACGCUAAUAAAAAGCCAAUGGCUGAACAGCAGCUGCCCAGUAACUUCCGUUCCGGUUUCAGGAGCGCGCACAUAAGUGCAGGUCGCCACAUCACAUUUUUACAAUAAACUGAAACAACAGCAGUGGUGGCUUCAUUUCGACAGGAUCUUAGUUGGAAGGACUGCAAAAAAGGAGGAGAUGGAAGUGAAUGCAGCCAGGGGCACGCCGAAGAGGAUGAUGUUGCAUCCCAAGAGGUUCCAGGAUGACUGGGUGUAGGGGUGCACUGUGGAUCACCAGCGGCAGGCACAGAGGACAGGUCAAGCAAAAAGUAAAUUUUUCCUCCCAGCACAGGUGCCCCCCAGCCCCAACAAUGCUGGCGUAUAGAGGUAGCAGCAGCAAAAACACUGAAGAGCAGGAGACGGAAAUCGGAGCAUGGCGCUGUGUUGAUGAUGUCACUUCUGCCACGACAAGGAAGGAGGUUUAGAAUUAUAUAAUGCAGCCGUGGGUGAGUCUGCUGCUAACAGUCUGACAUGCAAGCAGGGGAAUGAGGGAUUUAGAAGCUCACAUGGGGGAAUGCAAGUGAGCAGGGGAAGGAUCGAGGGAGAGGUUCGCAUGGGGAUAUGUAAAGGAGCCGGGACAUGCCCCAACUGCCACGAAUGCGAGGAGUAUAGUAUAGAGGGUGUGAUAAACUGCUUGGCUAGCAGUGGGUUAAAUGAUCAUGCUGUGUUAGUUCAGGUGAAGCAGUCAGACCAGCACAAGAACUUUAUACAUUUUUUAGAACAUGGCAGAUAACAUAGCCCUGCUCCACACUUGCUCUCAGCUUAGACAGGAAGAGAUAAAACAGGAACAGGAAAUGAAUCAUAAGGUAAAACAGCAGGAAUGCCCUUAACCAAAAUGGACACAAAAGCUGGUUAUCACAUUCCUCCUUUUUAGCAAAAAGUAGAUCUAAACAUUAGUAUAUAUAAACAAUCAUUUAUAACUCAGUUCUAAAAGAUGUGAAGGCUGGAAAUGUCCAAGUUAGCAAUAACAUAGUGAAUAUUUUAGCCCAAUUUAACUUUAUGCGCUUCAACAAAUUUCUACACCUGUCACCCUUCACAACCACUAAGGGCAAUGUAAAUGGCUGACCUUCAUAUGUGACUGGUGCUAGGAUCUCUCCAAGCACAGGCAAUCUUCUCUCCAGUAUAAUAAGUGAGAUGUAAAUGUGAUUUCUGCAAUGCAAUUCUACUUAAACAGUAAUUGUAAAUAGUCUCUGAUAUCAGUGAUACAGAUGCACCUGUAUCAAGUUACAUGUUUACUGGAUGCCCAUCAAUUUCUAGCUUAAUAUGUAUACCAUUGUCUCCCCCAUUCAUAGUAUUGACUCUAUUUAAGUCUGUGCAGUCACUUUCUGGGCUGUUACAACUAUUCACAUUUUGCGCCCUGGGCUUGCGUGAUUUGCUUCUGCAGACAUGACCAAUGUGACCUAACUUUCCACAGUUUCUACAGGCUUCGGAUUUAUAUCUGCAGUUCUGUUCCUGAUGCAGGCCUCCACAGCCGUAGCAGUUUUUAACUCUCUGUGUCUGAAAUGUUUGCUCACCUGUGACUGACAUUGUAGGUGGCUGUGGUGAAUUUGGUGCAGUGGAUUUAAACAUUGCAGUUAUUUUAGGAAUAUCUGUAACUGAACAACUAUUUAGCUCCUUGAACUGCUGAGAGUCACAUUUGGUUAACUCUAUAGCCAAGGCAAUAUUAGAAGCAGACUUAUGCAGGUAGAAUCAUAAGGCAAUGGCAAAACAGCAGGAAUGCCCUUAACCAAAAUGGCCACAAAAGCUGGUUACUACAGAGGGGAACAGGGGAUGAGGAAAAUUCGGAUAAGGUUGAAGGGUUCAUAGAGGCAGCUCCAACCCCAGUAAAGACUGGUAGGAGGCAGGGUAAUGCAAGCACAAGGGGUGGUGGGAGAUUUUAGGUUAAGAGGAAACAGACAGCCAAUUUAUGAGUACAGGAUGCCCAGGUAUAGACUGCAAUAUUGAAGCAACAACAAUUACGAGGAUUAGUAGGAAAAUUAAUUUGAGGGGUAUAAUUAUGGAUGUAAGGACGAUUAUGAAUAUGAGUUGAUCCAUUCACGCAGACCAUGGCAAAAUCCAAGGAGGCCCAGAUGAAUUGGGGGGAUGGACAGAUGAACAGAGGGAGGCUAUGUAUAGGGAAACUAACUGUGGGCUGAGUUUUGGUUUUAGGAACAAGGAGGAGAGUAGAUCAGCCUAUUCUACAAUGGACAAUCAGCAGCUUCGCAUAUAUAAAUGUAGAAUGGCAAUGUGUCUAACAGAUGCGUCUGUCUACAUUACCUGCUGCAACCAGGGCAGCGAGAAAUUUCAAAAGGCAGCAACAGCCGCAACACUUCAUUCAAAUUACUAAAUGGAGAACUAUAACAUCCCUCUACAGAACUUUGAAGGGUAAUAUUCUUCCUGGUGGACCAGUUACAGAGACUCAUUGGAGCCAAUCCGAAAAAGCUUAGUGCACCUGUGACCCACCUCUGUCAAUAUCACGUGACAACUAAGCAAUGGGGAAGCAGUGUAAAUGACUGACAUUUCAUUUGUCCUAUUAGAGAUGUGAGGCAAGGAAGGGUGGUGGGAGGAAAUGGCAUGGAGUGAAAUGAAAUGGUGGGGUUAAGCUACAGCUGAUGUAGCAUUUAUUGGAAAUUUUAUGUAGCGCACAAGUCUUUUCCUGUUAUUUAUGCUUCAAUUAAUAAAUUUUCAAUUUGGAAACUC
Molecule: long non-coding RNA, 2949 nt
Organism: Xenopus laevis (African clawed frog)
Lineage: Eukaryota; Metazoa; Chordata; Amphibia; Anura; Pipidae
Exons: 2
Source: RefSeq, a predicted model, not a curated record